Molecule: ribosomal RNA, 253 nt
Filed under: uncultured prokaryote
Description: partial 16S ribosomal RNA
Rfam family: Bacterial small subunit ribosomal RNA
Source: RNAcentral
UACGGAGGGUGCAAGCGUUAUCCGGAUUUACUGGGUUUAAAGGGUGCGCAGGCGGAUGUGUAAGUCAGUGGUGAAAUCUCUAGGCUUAACCUGGAAAUUGCCGUUGAUACUAUAUAUCUUGAAUGUUGUGGAGGUAAGCAGAAUAUGUCAUGUAGCGGUGAAAUGCUUAGAUAUGACAUAGAAUACCUAUUGCGAAGGCAGCUUACUACGGGAUUAUUGACACUGAGGCACGAAAGCGUGGGGAUCAAACAGG